Molecule: ribosomal RNA, 440 nt
Filed under: uncultured bacterium
Lineage: Bacteria
Description: partial 16S ribosomal RNA
Rfam family: Bacterial small subunit ribosomal RNA
Source: RNAcentral
CCUACGGGCGGCUGCAGUGGGGAAUAUUGCACAAUGGGGGAAACCCUGAUGCAGCGACGCCGCGUGUGGGAAGAAGGUCCUCUGGAUUGUAAACCCCUUUCCCCAGGGACGAAGAUGACGGUACCUGGGGAGGAAGCUCCGGCUAACUACGUGCCAGCAGCCGCGGUAAUACGUAGGGAGCGAGCGUUGUCCGGAAUUACUGGGUGUAAAGGGAGCGUAGGCGGGAGUGCAAGUUGGGUGUCAAAUCUACGGGCUCAACCUGUAGCCGCAAUCUAAACUGCAGUUCUUGAGUGAAGUAGAGGCAGGCGGAAUUCCUAGUGUAGCGGUGAAAUGCGUAGAUAUUAGGAGGAACACCAGUGGCGAAGGCGGCCUGCUGGGCUUUUACUGACGCUGAGGCUCGAAAGCGUGGGGAGCAAACAGGAUUAGAUACCCUGGUAGUC